RNAcentral lists this ribosomal RNA (468 nucleotides) under uncultured bacterium. RNAcentral's name for it is "partial 16S ribosomal RNA". It matches the Rfam family "Bacterial small subunit ribosomal RNA", at positions 28 to 507 of the family's 1533-position model. The record is from RNAcentral.
GACGAACGCUGGCGGCGUGCUUAACACAUGCAAGUCGAACGGAAAGGCCCUGCUUUUGUGGGGUGCUCGAUUGGCGAACGGGUGAGUAACACGUGAGUAACCUGCCCUUGACUUUGGGAUAACUUCAGGGAACUGGGGCUAAUACCGGAUAGGAGCUCCUGCUGCACGGUGGGGGUUGGAAAGUUUCGGCGGUUGGGGAUGGACUGGCAGCUUAUCGGCUUGUUGGUGGGGUAGUGGCUUACCAAGGCUUUGACGGGUAGCCGGCCUGAGAGGGUGGCCGGCGUCCAUGCGCCUGCGGUAGGCCGCAGUCUCCUAUGGGAGGCAACGGUCGAGAGUAUUGCGGAACAGGGGGGAGUCUGAGGCGGCAGCGCUCCGUGCGUGAUGAUGGCUUUCGGGUUAUAAACCGCUUUGGCCUUUACCGAAGCGGGAGUGACGGUAACGGGUAAGGAAGCACCGGCUAACUACGUG